AACGAACGCUGGCGGCAGGCCUAACACAUGCAAGUCGAGCGAGGACUUCGGUCCUAGCGGCGGUCGGGUGUGUAACGCGUGGGAACGUGCCCUUUUCUUCGGAAUAGCCCUUUUUAACUGGGAGUAAUACCGGAUGAGCUCUUUUGGUGACAGAUUUGUCGUCGAAGGAUCGGCCCGCGUUGGUUUAGGUUGUUGGUUGGGUAAUGGCCUACCAAGCCGACGCUCCAUAGCUGGUUUGAGAGGAAGAUAAGCCACACUGGGACUGUGACACGGCCCAGAAUACUACGGGAGGGAGGAGAGGGGAAUCGUAGAAAAUGGGGGAAAAGCAGAACGAGCCAGGGCGGGAGAGCGAUGAAGGCCUGAGGGAUGUAAAGCACUUUAAGCUGGGAAGAUAAUGACGGUACCAGAAGAAGAAGCCCCGGCUAACUCCGUG
RNAcentral lists this ribosomal RNA (433 nucleotides) under uncultured bacterium. RNAcentral describes it as "partial 16S ribosomal RNA". It matches the Rfam family "Bacterial small subunit ribosomal RNA", at positions 29 to 507 of the family's 1533-position model. The record is from RNAcentral.